RNAcentral lists this ribosomal RNA (557 nucleotides) under Exophiala alcalophila. RNAcentral describes it as "eukaryotic LSU rRNA". It matches the Rfam family "Eukaryotic large subunit ribosomal RNA", at positions 78 to 648 of the family's 3401-position model. The record is from RNAcentral. Lineage: Eukaryota; Fungi; Ascomycota; Eurotiomycetes; Chaetothyriales; Herpotrichiellaceae.
CCUCAGUAACGGCGAGUGAAGCGGCAACAGCUCAAAUUUGAAAUCUGGCCUCUUGGGGUCCGAGUUGUAAUUUGUAGAGGAUGUUUCGGGUACCGCCCCGGUCUAAAUUUCUUGGAACAGAAUGUCAGAGAGGGUGAGAAUCCCGUCUUGGACCGGUGGUAGGGCCUAUGUGAAACUCCUUCGACGAGUCGAGUUGUUUGGGAAUGCAGCUCAAAAUGGGUGGUAAAUUUCAUCUAAAGCUAAAUAUUGGCCAGAGACCGAUAGCGCACAAGUAGAGUGAUCGAAAGAUGAAAAGCACUUUGAAAAGAGAGUUAAACAGUAUGUGAAAUUGUUGAAAGGGAAGCGCUGGCAAUCAGACUUGCGCGCGGCGGUUCCCCCUGCCUUUUGGCUGGGUUAUUCCGCCGUGUCCAGGCCAACAUCGGUUCUGGGGGCCGGUUAAAGGCCUUGGGAAUGUACCUACCCUUCGGGCGUAGACUUAUAGCCCAAGGUGUCAUGCGGCCUCCCGGGACCGAGGAACGCGCUUCGGCUCGGAUGUUGGCGUAAUGGUUGUCAGCGAC